AGAUUCUAUUUGUAUUUGUAGAU
RNAcentral lists this small nuclear RNA (23 nucleotides) under Arabidopsis thaliana (thale cress). Its description in RNAcentral is "snRNA_16578". Lineage: Eukaryota; Viridiplantae; Streptophyta; Magnoliopsida; Brassicales; Brassicaceae. The record is from RNAcentral.